Long non-coding RNA from Cyprinus carpio (common carp), 169 nucleotides. RefSeq lists it as uncharacterized. Lineage: Eukaryota; Metazoa; Chordata; Actinopteri; Cypriniformes; Cyprinidae. The transcript has 3 exons. The record is from RefSeq and is a predicted model, not a curated record.
GUUUAUUUUCAUCUUCAGUUAAUGGUGAAGGAGCGACGGGAGACAUGAGGAUCAUUGUCUUCUCCUCUGAAUUACUCUUCAUUUUAAUUCUGAUGAUUUUACUGGUAUUUGAACCCUGGAUCACACCGUGUCUGCAGUCUUGUACGAAGGCAAUGAAGUCUCGUCGAGG